GCAGAGAAUAUUCUUGUUCUUGUAUUGAAUAUCAUGUGUCUUACAAAGUGAUAAGGGUCCCCUUAAUAUAGGAGGGGGAAUCCCAACAUAGUACAGGUACAUUUAUUAUAAAAAUAUACGGCUGGUACAGCCAUUUAAUGCCACGAUACGGACUUGUACUAUUCUUGUAGACCUGGUCAGCUCUAACCACGUGCCUUGAGAAUUUUUUGCUUGUCCAUCAUAGCCACCGAUUCGUACUGCCCCGAGGUCAAACAUAGAGAACCCUCGGGGUUGAACUCGAGCUAUGCCUCGAGCCUUCUUAGGUGGGCUAUGGAGUCUCAUAAUGAUCAUACAAUCGGACUCUUCGAUUUUAGCCAUAUACAACUACGAUAACCCCGAAGUCGAACUCUUCCGAUUUUGGCCGUAUACAAGGUUGAAGGAAAUAAAAAUGAAAUCUCGUGACAGGACAUGAAUAACAUUCUGCAAAGUUGCCAUCACCUAUAUUAAUCAUUGUCAACGUAUUUUCUAACUUCAAUCAUAAUCACCAUCAUACAUAGUACUAUAUUUAAUGUCUAGUAUAGAGCAGUAUCGCUAAAGAAAAGUGUACGCAAUCCAAAAUAUAUUAGUCAAGUAAGGACCUUUUAAAAAAUGUCCACAAAAACUUGAAAAACCCUCCUUAAUUUGAGAUAUCAUAUCCUAUGCUGGCUAGCCUUCUAAAAAAGAUCCCAGUUUUAGGCUUUGGGUGUGAUGUUGGUGAAUGAUUAACGAUUUCACAGUUUUCUACAUUUGCAAACAAAACCCACCAAUAAUUUGAGGCACAUUUCCUAUUAGUUGUCUAUUUAACUUUUCACUUCCAUAAGUUAUGGAGUUUAAUUGUUUUAUAGGAAUAACCACUAGAUUUAGAGGCAAAAUAUGAGAAUUUAAGAACAAUUUGGAUAUAAUUAAUUGUUUUGUUAAAAAAAUCAGAUUUAAGUUUAGCUUUCUAAAAAAGAAAGAUUUUUUAUAAAUAAAAAAUAUUGUGGGUGCCCNNNNNNNNNNNNNNNNNNNNNNNNNUGGGGGGCAGGGGGGUGAACGCAGGUGGAGUGCGGCGCGGGUGAAUGCGAUUUUAAAUCCUAUGCGGGGCGGGUUUAACUUUCACGGGUUGAGACAGAACCCGCCCCGCACCGUCCCACACUGCCUGCCGUUCCUACCUACGGAUCUUCGAAUCUCCUUCCGGACGCACUCCCAAUACCAGAAUCACUAUACGACGCUAUUUCCAGACUCGGAAUCUCUAACGAACAUUGGUAACAUUAAAAUGCACUCCAACCCAAAUUUAUGAAAUUUUUCCAAAAUUCUAACUUCCACAAUAGGUGCCGAAACGCUCCCGAGUCAUCCAAAACCCGAUCCAGACAUGCGCCCAAGUCCAAAUCAUCAUACAAACCUGUUGAUAACUCUCAAAUCCCGACUCCGAGGUCGUUUACUCAAAAUCAACCCUUAGUCGGUUUCUUCCAACUUUAAGCUUCCAAAAUGAGAAUUCUCUUUCCAAAUCAACUCUGAACUUCCGAAAUUCCAGUCCCGACCACAUGUACAAGUCAUAAUACCUUAAGUGGAGCUGCUCAUGGCCUCAAACUGCCGAACGGCGUGCUAGAGCUCAAAAUGACCGGCCGGUCAUUAUAUUCUCUCCCACUUAAACAUACGUUCAUCCUCGAAUGUGCUAAGAACUGCUCUAGAGGUGUCUGAAAUCACCGUUUAACACAUCAUGCACCUACCUGUGCUACCACAACUCUGUUGAGCACAUUAGCUCGAGCUUAUAUGAAUAUAUUCCCUUUUACUCAACCAAAUGGGCUUUAGAGCCCAAUUCCAACAUCCAGAAUUCUCUGCCAGGCCUGCUUCCAGCAUACGAACACCGUAUCAAUCACCACACGAUGUACCAAAACAUGACUGCAUACCUUUGCUGAAUUCACGCUAUGCACUGCCUAACUCUCAUGACCAUAAUAAUACCCUCUUAACAACAGCCAAAAUUCCACCAAUCUGAUGCUCCCAAUGUACCUUAUGACAUAUAUAAGUCUUGCCCCAACUUUUGCAAUACCGCCACGAUGGAAGUGGUGUGUAGAAAUUUAUAACAAACUGCCGAGUCAACAAAUUAUUAAGUCUAUACUCCUAACAAGAACCAUCACCCUCUGUACCAAAUAAUGGUAUUUGCUCUUUAAUGUGUACUUCAUAUAAAUUCGAUCGCACUGAUCCCAGGUCCGAUAAUCUCGUCUCACCCAGUAUAAGCUGCCCAAGCCAUAAGCCACCUCAGACACUGCCAAAAAUCUCAUAUAAUGCCGCAAUGUGCCAAUAAGCUACAAACCCGAAUGUGAUACAUAAGGAAAAUGAACUCUAGAAAGGAUUACUCAACCCGCAAUACUAAUUAGACAAUCGAAAAGGUGUCAUGAACCUUCCUCAGAAAAUGGAAAACAAAACACACAAAAAUAGCUAUAGGGGAUUGUGUAAGCACGUGAUUUUUUCCCUAUGAAAGAAUUACUCCCAAAAAAUUCAAAAUAAAACGAUUUUCCUUUGUGUGCAAUUUUGAGAAUUUUCGCGGCAUUUUAGGGUAAUUGAUUGUAUUUGUCCAUGCAUGUUUAUUUGUUAAAAUUAAUAAAAAUACAAAAAUAUGCCGCAUUUACAUUUAGGAUUUAAUUCUACAAUUAGGAGUAAUUAAGUUUGUUUUACAAGAAUGAAAAUUAUAAAAAUAUGUGUCGUUUGCAUUUUUAGCAUUCAAUGUCAAAUUGUGCAAUUUUGUUUUAAUGGGUGUUUAAUUAUGUGUGAUAAAUGUUGCUAGAAAUUAGUUAGUAUUUUUGAUAAGUUAAUUUAGUUUAUAACUUAAUUUAGAAUUUUAGUUUUAUUAAUUAGAAAGUAAAAGAAAAGAGAGCAAAAAAUAAAAAAAAAUCGUAAUUGGGCCUCUUCCUCAAUUUUGAACCUAGACCCAAAACACCUCUACCCAAACUAAAUAACCCCUUAUCCAACCCAAAGACCCAUCGGGUCGACCCGACCCGGUCCGCCCCAUAACCCCAAAUGACCCAACCUCCUAUCUUCACUUCAUUUUCAUUUUUUUUCACAAAAAACCCUAAACUUAAACCCAUCCGCCCCCCUCUCUCUUUCUCUCCAUCUUCUCCAAGCUUCCUCACGCCCCCAUCCAUGGCUGCCCUUACAUCAUCUUCUUCGACACAAGCACACACACACACAGCUCCACAACCAUCCACACUCGUCGACCACCAACAACCCCGCCUCGUCGUCGAAGCCAUGAACGAUCAACAACCCCGCCUCGUCGUCGAAGCCAUGAACGACCAACAACCCCGCUUCGACGAGCUCCAGCCAUGGACGACGUGAAACAGCCCCAACUAGCCCCGUCGCAACACAGCACCACCCUACUGCUUCAUCUUCUUCAUCGACCACCAUGAACGAACCCUUCAUCAGAACCCAAUACACCAUAGAAGAGAAGGCAGCUGCUUCAUAUGCUCCAUAGCAGCUAACGAAGCACACCCUCCACCAUCUUCCUCCUCCAGUUGCAAGCUCUAGCUCCACCAUGCCUGAGCUUCGUUGUUCACCUCCAGCCAAACACCAGCCACGCCGGAAAAACCCAGUGCUGCCCUCCCCGUCCGCCAUUAACAAGAUGCACCUGCUGCGUUGCUGCUGCCUUCUGCUUCGUCCAGCUUCGUUUGAUAUUUUCUUCAUCCAGCUUCGUCCAGCUUCGUCCAGCAUCUGCUUGUGCUGCGUUGCUGCUGCCUCAUCGAGCAUCUAAUUCAAAACAAAUUCUCCUCGCAACUGCUUCGUUUUUCAAACGACACCAAACAACCAUUUUCUUCGAUGGUCCGUUCGUGGUCGUCUUCGGCGUCGAGUUAUUUUGGUGCGAUAAUUGUUUCCGGGCAGAUUUGUUUUUGUUCGAGUUUAUCGUCGUUCUGAUCCGGUUAGUUGGUUUAAGUUUCAUUUCUGUCCAUAAUUUAUUUGAUAUUUUCGAAUCUGAAAUCAGAUAUGUUUGAUAUUAAUUUCGUGUUUAUCGUUUUGAUUAUUUUCUUCAGUUUGUUUCAUUUUUUCUUGUUUAUUUUUAUGUAGAAAUUGUUAGUUUAAUUAUAAUGUUGUUAGUUUUAAGUUUAAGUUCAAUUAAUUAUUUCUUCAGUUUGUUCUUAUUAAUUUAAAAGGAUUUAGUUUUUAAUAUAGAAAUAUGUUAGUUUGAUUACUGCAAUCCUUCGUCUUGACUGUAAUAUUGUUAGAUUUAGUUUGAAUUUGUGAUUGAAUUUAUUUAGGAAUUGGUUAUAUUUGCUGUAUUUUGGUUGGAAUUGAUUAGGUGAAUUGGUUAUAGCUGAUGGGGGUAGAUUGGUAAAUUGCAGUACUUUCAGGGGUAAAAUGAUAAUUUCAGUAAAGUCGGAGGGGUAUUUCUGGAAUUGAAAAUUUGAACAAUUAUUUAAUCUGAGUGCUCCGUCCACUAGACAUUAAUAAUAUUGAAAUAGUACAUGGUGGGGGACAAGGGAAUUAAAUAAGAAAAACAUUAAGUAGUGGGGGCAAGACAUGCAAUUAGGGGAAUAGUUCGGGUUAGUGGUUCAAGACAAGAGUUUUGCUAAAAAUAAGAGUAAUUUUUGACAUAGGAGGAGGACAUUUUUUGAGGAGAAGACAUUUUUAGGAGGAGUUUUUAGAGAGAGGAUUUUUGGGAAGAGGAAGACAUUUUGAAAAUCUCAAGAGAGUGUUGGAGAGUUUAAAAAGAGAAAACAAAAACAAAGUGAGAGAGGAGUUUAGUUUCGGGUUUAAUACACGCCUGUUUAGUCUGUUUGUGGUAAUGUUGGUUGUUGCUGUUUAGUUUUUUCAUAAACUUUUGGGGCUGUUCUAUCGAGCUUGUUUGGUUUUCUUCAAAUUUUUCUGAGCCUUGAAUCUGGUUCGAAUUGCUGUUGUUGGGUUGCUGUUGCGUUGCUGUGUUAUUACUGCUACUGACUCCUCCUUCUUUUCUUCUUGUAUUGCCAUUUCUAGGUACACAUUUAUACACUUUUGGCUUGAGGCAAAAUGAAGUAUUGACUAGGCUUUGUUCCUGUUGAAUUCCUCCUGUUUAGAUUUGUGCUUGAAUAGAGUUUUCCUUUCUUUGUAUAAAAAUGUAGUUGACUGAUUAAUGAGUAAUGGGGUUGCAUAUGUAUAAUAACUCCUUCAUCUAAUAAUGUCAGUUUAAAUUAAUUAAAGAAUAGUUAAUUUGUUUUGAUAUUAUUGUGUNNNNNNNNNNNNNNNNNNNNNNNNNNNNNNNNNNNNNNNNNNNNNNNNNNNNNNNNNNNNNNNNNNNNNNNNNNNNNNNNNNNNNNNNNNNNNNNNNNNNNNNNNNNNNNNNNNNNNNNNNNNNNNNNNNNNNNNNNNNNNNNNNNNNNNNNNNNNNNNNNNNNNNNNNNNNNNNNNNNNNNNNNNNNNNNNNNNNNNNNNNNNNNNNNNNNNNNNNNNNNNNNNNNNNNNNNNNNNNNNNNNNNNNNNNNNNNNNNNNNNNNNNNNNNNNNNNNNNNNNNNNNNNNNNNNNNNNNNNNNNNNNNNNNNNNNNNNNNNNNNNNNNNNNNNNNNNNNNNNNNNNNNNNNNNNNNNNNNNNNNNNNNNNNNNNNNNNNNNNNNNNNNNNNNNNNNNNNNNNNNNNNNNNNNNNNNNNNNNNNNNNNNNNNNNNNNNNNNNNNNNNNNNNNNNNNNNNNNNNNNNNNNNNNNNNNNNNNNNNNNUUCACAUUCUUUUUAAAAUAUAAUAAUAAAAGCGGUAAAGAGUUAAAACUUGCACAUGAGCUCAUAAUUGUAUAAAAUCAGAUAAACAAGCCGAAUAUGACAGUUGAGCGACCAUGCUAGAACCACGGAACUCGGGAAUGCCUAAAACCUUCUCCCGGGUUAACAGAAUUCCUUAUCCGGAUUUCUGGUUCGCGGACUGUAAUACAGAGUCAUUCUUUUCCUAGAUUCGGGAUUAAAUUGGUGACUUGGGACACCCUAAAUCUCCCAAGUGGUGACUCUGAAAUAAAUAAACAAAUCCCGUUUCGAUUGUCCUUUAAUUGGAAAAACUCCUUCACCCCUUGUGGGGGCGGAAAAAGGAGGCCUGACAGACUGUACACAACAUCACAUUGUUGCAGUGUACAAACUAAUCCAAACAAUAUACCCGUGGCGGCGCGCCACCCGAUCCACACACAAAAUCGACGUAAGAAGAUACUUACCGGGCUAGAACUCUCAUAUCUACAAAAUGCUCGAAUAUUGGCCAUAAGCACGCCAAGUGCAUAAUACCAUCCCCGAGGAGACAAAUAGUGUCGUACGCUACAAAACUCAAGCUCAACUAAUGUGCAAUAUAUAUUAUCUGCAUCUUGACAGCCAUCCUGCUCACAUAACACCAUUCCUGCGUGGAACCUCAACACAUGAAAUUAAAAAGCCAUUUCACAACUCACACAUCACAAUAUAGUAUUACAUGAAGUAGCCAGUGACAAAUUAACAUCCAACAUCCGAAUUCCUCCACAAGGAGCGUUAUGCUAAAAUGAACACCUCCACUCCGACAUAGAGCCCAUAUUCAUAUCUAGAUCCACUCAUGGACCUCAAGCCGAUUAGGAUCGCACCGUACUAGUCUAAUAAACUUUUAAGGGUUCAUAAUAACCCUUUUCCCAUAACACACAUGGAUAACUAUCAUAUUUGAAACGAACCUCCACAGUCCACAAUCAAAUGAACAGAGCGCCCUCCAAGCAUAAAUUCUCAUAUGAACAAUAGUACCACAAUCUCCAUACAUGCCACACUUAUACAAUCUUCCCGUGGGACAUUCUCCCACGCCCUUCCACACCAGAUAACAGUUUGCACACCCAUACCACCGGCCACACAAAUGUUGUAAAGCAAAUCAAAAAUCCGAAAUCAGCACUCAAAGCCUCUUACACAGAACGCCGAUCUCUGGUGAUGCUAGAGACAAUACCGUCUUACUCUAACCAUCUGAAUCCUUUCCUGCUCAUCCGAGUUCUUGUAAUUCUUGUCGGCACCAAACUACAACCUUGAUCCUCAACUUCUGAAUCCCAUGCCGAUCACUGCACAUAAUCAUGCCAAUGCACAAGAGUACAAUAAUUCCAUAUUAACUUCUGGACUAAUGUUUGGGUAAAUACUUCAUCAUAUAGAAACCUUUUACUUAACUCAUUUCAAGAGAACCAUUGCAACACGUGACUGAAUCCUCGUAUCCGCAGAAAAUACCAAUCUCAAGUAGUGGUCUAAACCACCAUAACCCUUUGGAGAUCCAUCUGCACAUAACAGGCUAUAAUACUCGAAAGCCUCAUAAUAAGAUCAGUUACGGCGACCGUCAAACCUCGCAUGUACCAUCACAAAUCACAUGAGUAAAUCAACACGCUGAAAGAGCUGAUCAUUGCCAUCAUCAUGCCGAUUCAACAUUUGCUAACCAAUCCGACUUCUUCUAAUUCACCCUGGACUUGCCUUAGGAAUAAUAAUAGCUACAUUCAAAACAUAGCAAACUCAAUGCACACUCGUCCUGAGUGACCCCAUUUCUCAAGACCACAUUGCCUCAAAACCCACGAACCAUUUCAUACCCUCUUUGUGCGCAUAAUCACGUCUUCAAGUGGUACACCCAUUCUGACUUAGUUCCUAAUAAUAAUCAACUCCAAGGCUCUUCUAGCACAUGGACACUCUCUCAAUGAAGUACAUGACUGAAUCACUUCCCUUGUAAAUCACCUUCGUACGAAGCAUAAAUCCUGAAUCUUCCCAAAGCCUAACAAUGAGUCAAUAAGGCCAACUAUAUCAUACCUUUAUCAAUUCCUUUGCUCAAAUUACCAUUUAUGUUCUUUUCCCCUAGCUGUAAUAACUCACCAAUAUGCCGAUAACCCAAAGCCUCACAAGUAGAUAACCAUGCGACCCAAUCGUAGGCGGUGGGACUCUCCCACUUAGCUUGAAGCUACUAUUACACAACUCUGGAACCCACCAAGAUUCUUUCAUCAUUGAUGACAUGAUGUUGCACAACCAACCCGCAAAAUUCAUCGAAAUCCUUAUGUUUGACCUUUCAUGAACACUCUGAAUCACUAACCACAUUCACCUAUUCGACCUCUUAUCGUAUGGCCAAUAGAAUUCUUCGCAGAAGCUUCGCCAACACCACACGACCACUAACAUUCUCACAGGAGAUAAUCCACCUGUGGAAAUUACAUGUUGACAUCUCCCAAGGAUGUUGCACUACAUAAUUACUAUGAAAUCCGUAACCUAUCCUGAGCCCAUUCUCAUUCACAAGCUAUACAAACCCAUUCACUCCUCAUGGACGCCAACUAAAUGUGCGACAAUAUCCUCUAAUUCAAAGUCAUAUUGUAUCCUUCUUCAUAUCAAGUAACCCCUUUCUGUCGCAUCAAUCUCCCGUCAUAUAAUAGCCAAUAUUCCAAAUUGAGUCCAUAGACCCAGUCACUGUCCACCCUGAAUCCCAAAUCGCUCUAGACCUUUUCUCAGGGUGUGUAGUCGUCCUACCACAGAACCCAUAUGCUACUCUGCCACUCUCCCGCUUCUGUCUAACUAACUCCUUUAAGCAAUCGUUCGACUCCCGUUCCUCACUCUUGACCUUAAAGAAAAUUUAACCACUGCAAGGCACCCCCCUCACAUAUACUUCCUCAUCCUUCGCUGCCCAGUUGUUUCCUUAAAGGAAAAUUUAUUUCUGUAGCACUUGAACCAAUAGAUCAUUACUAACUUUAAACCCCUUCAAAGGUCAUCUUUCUCUAGUCAUCAACACCAGGAACACCGAUUCACUCCUGAAUCACUGCAGAUCGCGAUCUCUAAUAGUCGCUUCCCCGAUAGUAUUCACAAUACUAUACCCCAAAGGCGAAUUGAAGAAGACCAUAACACCGGCGAACUUAACUCAUUUAAUCACGGAUGAUGACAUCAUAUUACAGAUGAAAAUUCCACCAUGUCCGAAAAUACCAAGUCUCAUUACUCCAUCAAUCCAAAUUUUAACAUUCUUAGUCCAAUUGCCUUUCCUCCAUCAGAAAUAAAACACUGUAUCUCUGUAUCAUGCUCUGAGCAGACCUUCUUUCAAUCCAUUCACUACCCCGACUCAUAGGCAAGCAUCUCACCAUCACAUCAAUACUAUGCGAUAACAACUCAUGAGCACCAUGGCAACCUGUGCAUAGCCCCAAAGCUCUCAAAAGUACAACUACUGAGCUGAAAUGACGGAAUACUCUUCCGAAAGGAGACGACAAUAGCCCAAUCAAUUAAAUAGGGGAAACGUCUCGCACUGCAUCUAUAGUAUCAUUACAGUUCCACAACUCGAUCGAUAGCAAGCGCUUCACAUCGCUUAAGAUUGAGUAGGAAAGAAACAAAGGCAUAAGCCUCAAAGGAAUCAAACCCCAUGAUGAGGAAUCAAGAAAGGAAGUGCUCCUAACAGCCCUGUAGCCUCUCGAAGAUAAGUACAAACGUUUCCGUACUAGACCCGCUCAUGACUUGUGAGACCUAGUGCUCUGAUACCAUGUUGUCACGAUCCAAAUUUCAUUAAAGGUCAUGAUGGUGACAGACACCACUGCCAGGCAAGCCAACCAUAAACAAUCAAUUUAGUUCUCGUUUUAGUAUUUUUGAAAUCAUGAUUUUCUUCAAUUUAAUAGUAAAAAAUGGAAUUUACAGAAUAAAUAAUAAUGUUUUAACAAUUUCAAUACUGAAUAACCCAUAAUCAUCCCAAACCCGGUGUCACAAGUGCACGAGCAUUUACUUAGGAAUAAAUACAAUAACUAUCCGGAAUAUAAUUUGGACAAAUAGGGAAAUACCAAUACUCUCAAGGAGACUCUGCUGGCUGCGGAUCACGCAUAAGAUGUAGCUCGUCUAAGUACCUGUGUCAACCAAGUCGCUGCAUCCACAAGACCACUAAAUGUAUAUAUGACCGUACAACAAAAUAUACAACAAGUGUAGUAUGAGUACAAAAACAACGCGUACCCAGUAAGUAUCCUAUCUAACCUCGAAAAAGUAGUGACGAGAGGUCGACUUUGACACUUACUAGUGGUCUAAUAAUAUCAGGUACAGUAAAGAAGUGAAUAAAUAUGAAACAGAAUAAAUAUAUUAAGUAAACAUGUAUAAAAUAUGUGGUACAAUUGCCCUCUUUACAACUUUAAUCAAGCUCGCAAUUAGCAAGUUUCCCUCUGCAACUGGAGCAUAUAUAUAUAUAUAUAUAUAUAUAUAGUGGAUAUCAUCAAGAGCUUGUCAUAAUUCAAAUCAGAAAAAAAUCCCUUAGAUACACUGGCCUCUAACCAAAUGUUACGCACGAUUCCAUGAGAAUAAUAUAUAUAUAGGAGAUGCCGAGGCGUACGACCCGAUCCGACAUAAAAGUAAACUUUGCACUGCCGAGGGUCGAGUGGCACGAACCAUAGAUGCAUCUAUUAACCUGCCGAGGCAAACGGCCCGCUCCCAUGAGAGCGUGGUACAUAAAUCCCGGCGAGGCAAAUGGCCCAAUCCCAUAAGUGUAGUAGAAUGAAAUACCCCGCUUGCGAAUCAUACAUGCUACGCGGACAAAUAUAAAUUUAACAUUAAAAUCCGAUCUCCUUCUUGAUUCUUUUCAAAAUAAGGGAAAUUCAGCUUGUAGCUUUUUAAGGAAAUUACCCCCGCUCGCCAAUCAUACAUGCGGCGCGGUUACUCAUAGAUUUCUUAAGCAAUUAUAAUAUUUCUCAAUUCUUUUCGAAAAUACGAAGUUUAAUGGAAACUUUUAAAAUCAUAAAUUCCUAAAUUCAAAUUCCUUUAAACACAAUUAUUACGCAACCUUAAUCUUGUUUCUUCUCAAGACAAACAAUAAACGUAAAUUAACAACAAUAUCAACUAGGCAUGAUAUGAGCCUACAACUACCCGGGCAUGGGCAUAGCUAGUAGCUACAUACGGACUCUCGUCACUUCGUGCGUAUGUAGCCCCCCCCCCCCCCACAAAUAGGAUCACAUAAUAAUUUAGUUCACCUAUGACGUUUAUUCCCUCUUACAAGGUUAGAAAGGAAACUUUCCUGACUCCGAAGUUCCAUAACCGGCUUCCAAGCCCUUCCAACGACUCAAACCUAUGCUCGACGCUCCGAAACUAGCCAAUAAUUAUGCAAACCCAUUAAUAUACGCUUGAAUACUCAUAACAAUUCAAUUUACAACAAAUUCCUAGCUCCGAUCGGAAAAUCGAUAAAAUCACCCUCGGGUCCACGUGCCUAGAUUCCAAAAUUUUUCGAAGAUAAACUUUACCCAUAACCCCACGAACUCAAAUAUAUAAUUUGUUUCCAAUUCCAUGCCCAAAUUUGUGGUAAAAAUCCAAAAAUACCAAAUUUUAGGUUUUCUAGGAAAACCCACAAUCUCCACUAAUUUCCAUGUUCAAAUCCAUAUAUAAUCAUGCUUUUAACUCAAAACUAGUAUAAACCACUUACUUCAUGCUUGGUGAUAAAAAUGGCACUCCCAAGUUGCUCCAAAAAUUGGCUCCCAUGAAAGAUUUGAGAUGAAAUGAGCCAAAUCCCGUCUUUUAAAUAAACACACUGCCCAGCGAUUCUUUGCACCUGCGGUCACUUGACCGCUUCUACAGUUUUGCAGGUGCGUACAAUAUACUACUUCUGUGUCCAAGGCUCCCAGCCUAUUUCCGCUUCUGCGCCUUCUCUUCCACAUGCACGGUCUCACUUCUGUGGCGAGAUGACCGCAUCUGUGGUCCCAUCACUCCUAGCCAAAAUCUCAUCUUUGACCCUCAUGGCCGCUUCUAUGGCUCCGCACCUGCGGCUAAAACCUCGUAGGUGCGGUUACACCAGGCGACAACAACCCUCAGCCUUUCUUCGAAGUCCAACUCGAUCCAUUUACCAUCCGGAUCCCACCCGAAGCCCUUGGGACCUUAACCAAAUAUACUAACACGUCCCAAAUCACAUUACGAACUUAGUCGAGCCUCCAAAUCCAAUCAAACAACAUCAAAAUCACGAAUCACAAUUCAAUUCAAGCUUAAUGAACUUUAGAACUUCAAACUUCAACAUCCGAUGCCGAAACCUAUCAAAUCUCCUCCGAUUGACCUCAAAUUUUGCACACAAGUCAGAUUUAACAUUACGGACCUACUCCAACUUCUAGAAUCAGAAUUAGACCCUGAUAUUAAAAGUCCUCUUCCGGUCAAUCUUCUUAAAAACCUUCAAAUUACUAACUUUAGCCAAAUGACUCCAAAAUGACCUACGGACCUCUGAAUCCACUUCCGGACAUGCUCCCAAUACCAGAAUCACGAUACGGCGUUAUCCCUAGACUCGGAAUCCCCAACAGACAUCGAUAACAUUGAAAUGCACUCCAACCCAAAUUUAUUAAAUUCUUCCAAAAUGCUAACUUCCACAAUAGGCGCCGAAACGCUUCCGGUUCAUCCAAAUCUCGAUCCGGACAUACGCCUAAGUCCAAAAUCAUCAUACAAACUUGUUGAAACCCUCAAAUCCUAACUUCAAGUUUGUUUACUCAAAAUCAGCCCUUAGUCGGUUUCUUCCAACUUUAAGCUUCCAAAAUGAGAAUUAUCUUUCCAAAUCAACUCUAAACUUCCGAAAUUCAAGUUCCGACCACGCGUACAAGUUAUAAUACCUUAAGUGGAGCUGCUCAUGGCCUAUAAUCGCCAAACAAUAUACUAGAGCUCAAAAUGACCGAUUGGGUCAUUACUAUUUCCCAGCUAGUUUUUGUGUAGUUAAGGCGGAAUUGGGAGUUUGAUUCUAGGGAUUUGGAGAGUUAAUUUGGGGAUUUAGGUGACGAUUUGGUGUCGAAUUUUGGUAAAUUUGGUAUGGUUGGACUCGUGGUUGAUUGGGCUUUCAAAUUUUGUGAUUUUUAUAAGAUUUCGAGAUGUGGGCCCAGGGGCCAACUUUUGAGUCGACUUUUUGACUUUUGAAUAAGAGUUUAGUAUUUUCUUAUGGGAUUGGUUCCUUUAGAUCGUGUUUAUUGUAUCGAAUUGUUUGUGGCUAGACUCGGGACAUUCAGAGACCGUUUCAGGAGGCAAAGGCUUGUUGGAGUAGGGAUUGCAUGGGUUGAGGUAAGUAACAGUCCUAAAGUUGGUUCUAAAGGUAUGAAACCCCAUAUUCUCGACGGAGUUUGAUCGUUUUGAGAUCCCAAGGUAGCUGGUUGGCGUUAGAAGGUCUUGUCUCUCCUUCAUUGUCUUACCACUUUAUGUAAUUAGUUUCAGACUAUCAUAGAUAGUAUUUCCAAACUUGUGCUGUAUAAACACUCAUGUACAUAGUGACAUCCCAAUGUUGGGAAUUUUCCGUAUUUGGGUUUUGACCUUCUACCCAGUUUUUGAGAGUUUGAUGAUUUAAACUUGUGCUAUUUUAUUUUUCAUUUAAAAGUAUUGGAAGUAUUUUGAAGUGUCAGCUUGCCUAGUACCAUGUUAGGCGCAUCAUAAUACGCUAUGUUUUGGGUCGUGACAAGUUGGUAUCAAAUCCUAGGUUAUAUAGGUCUCACGAGUCAUGGUUGGCUUAGUAGAGUCUUGGGGAUCGGUACACAGAUGUCUGUACUUAUCAUCGAGAGGUUGUCAAACCCUUAGGAAACUUUACUUUCCUGUAUUCUUAUCGUGCAGAUUUGUUGUUUUCGGUAACUAAUCUUCUAAUAUUCUAUUCUCUCACAAAUGGUGAGGAAACGUGCUAUCGGACAGGAUAAAAAUCCACCAGUACCACCAGCUAGGGCUAUGAGAGGCCGAGGUCCUAGUAGGGGACGCGGUAGGGGCAGAGGUGCAGCUCAUACAACAACUAGAGCAGCGCCUGCAGAUCCACCGGUUUCUCUAACUUAAGAGCAUAUGCCGGAUGUGGUUGAGCCAAUGGGGCCAGAUCAAACACUAGUUGUGCCCAUUGUGAUUCCAGGCCUUCAGGAGGCUUUGGCUUAGAUUUUGACUGUAUGCAAUAGCCUUACACAUGCGGUCUCUAUUACAACCGCAACAACCACUUCUCACACCAAGGGAGGUACUUAGACUCCCACUGCCCGUAUUCCAAAGUAGGUGAUAUAGUGGCUCCAGAUAGCAGGGGUACUACCAGCCCAACCGGUUGCAGCUGCUCAGGCCCAGGUAGGUCCCAUUAUGACUGAUGAUGAGCAACGAAUAUUUGAGAUAUUUGGGAGGCUGCAACCUCUAUCAUUUAGCGAGGCUGAGUUAGCGGAUGCCUAGGGCUUCUUGGAUAAGUUCUAGAAGAUUCUUCGCACGGUAGGUAUUAUAGAGACCAGUGGGGUCUCGUUUAUUACUUUUUAGUUUACUGGGGAUGCAUUCAUAUAGUGGGAGACUUAUGAGAGGUGCAUGCCGGUCGGUGUAGCACCAGUUUCAUGGUAGGAGUUCUCCGUUCUCUUCUUAGAGAAGUUCAUGUUAUAGUCUCGCAGGAAGGAGUUAUACAGAUGGUUUGAGCAGAUACAUCAGGUGGGCAUGUAUGUGACCUAGUACGAGAUGAGGUUUUCAGAGUUGGCUUGUCAUACAGUUUGGUUGAAUCGCACUGAUAGGGAGAGGAUUAAGAGGUUUAUUGAUUUCACAUAUUAGUUGUGGUUGCUUAUGACUUGGGAGAGGGUAUCUGGUGCUAUUUUCGAUGCGGGGGUUGAUAUUUAUCGGUAAAUAUAGAUGGUCCGUAGUCAGGAGCGUGAAGAGAGGGAGGCCAAGAGGCCACAACGAUGCUUAUGUAUGCCACAAGGAUGCUUAUGUAUUAUUUGACCUUGGUUCCAUUUAUUCGUGUGCAUCAUCAUAUUUUGCUCAUUUUCUGGAUAUGGUGAGUCCUUAGUUUCAUCUGUUAAUGUAUCUACAUCGGUAGGAUAUACCAUUAUUGUGGAUUGUGUAUAUCAGUCGAGUGUAGUGACUAUUAGGGGAUUGGAGAUGAGAGUUAACCUCUUAUUGCUUAGUAUGGUUGAUUUCGAUGUGAUCAUGGGUAUGGAUUGGUUGUCUCUAUGUCAUGAUUUUUUGUAUUGUCACACUAAUAUUGUGACGUUGGCGAUACUAGGUUUUCUAUGGAUUGAGUGGAGAGAUUCUCUAGCCUAUGUUCCCAGCAGAGUGAUUUCAUAUUUAAAGACCCAAUUGAUGGUUGGGAAGGGGUGUCUGUCUUAUUUGGCCUUUGUGAGGGAUGUGGGUGCUGAUACCCCUACUAUUUAUAUUGUUCCGGUGGUGCGAUAAUUUCCAGAUGUGUUUCCUACAGACCUACCGACAUGCCACCUGAUAGGGAUAUUGACUUUAGUAUUGACUUGGUGCCAGGCACUCAGCCCAUUUCUAUUCCUCCGUAUUGUAUAGUACCAGUUGAGUUGAAGGAAUUGAAAUAGCAGCUUCGGGAACUUCUUGAUAGGGGUUUAUUAGGCCUAGUGUGUCGCCUUGGGGUGCACCGGUUCUGUUUAUGAAGAAGAAGGAUGGUACUAUGAGGAUGUUCAUCGAUUAUAGGUAGUUGAAAAAAGUUACAAUCAAGAACAAGUAUCCUUCUUCACAUAUUGAUGAUCUAUUUGACUAGCUUCAGGGAGCGAGAGUGUUCUCUAAGAUCGAUCUGAGUUUUGGGUAUCACCAGUUGAAGAUACAUGACUCGAAUAUUCUAAGAUGGCAUUUAGGACCGUUUAUAGUCAUUAUGGGUCAUUUGUGAUGUCUUUUGGGCUAACCAACACCCCAGCAACAUUCAUGCAUAUGAUGAAAUAUGUAUUUCAGCCUUAUCUCGACUCAAUUGUCAUUGUAUUCAUUGGUGAUAUCCUAAUGUACUCUCGUAGCAAGGAGGAGCAUGCCCAACAUUUGAGGAUUUUGUUGCAGCGGUUGGGGAGGAGAAGCUUUAUGCCAAGUUCUCCUAGUGUGAGUUUCGGCUCUGUUUUGUGGCGUACUUACGGCACGUAGUGUCUAGUGAGGGGAUUCAGGUGGAUCCAAAGAAGAUAGAGGCGGUUCAGAGUUGGCCUAGAUCGUCUUCAGCUACGGAGAUUCAGAGUUUUCUUGGUUUGGCCAGUUAUUAUCGUCAUUUCGUGGAGGGUUUCUCGUCUAUUGCAUCGUCUUUGACCAAAUUGACCAAGAACGGUGCUUCUUUCAGGUGGUCAAAUGAGUGUGAAUACAACUUUUAGAAGCUCAAGACUGCCUUUAACAUAACUCCAGUUCUAGUUUUACCUUCAACUUUAGGCUCCUAUACAGUGCAUUAUGAUGCUUCUCGAAUCGGUAUUGGGUGUGUCUUGAUUCAAGAGGGUAGAGUGAUUUCUUAUGUUUUGUGCCAGUUGAAGACCCAUGAAAAGAACUACCCUAUCACGAUUGGGAGUUGGCUGUCAUCGUCCAUGCAUUGAAGAUUUGGAGACAUUAUCUCUAUAGUGUGCCUUGUGAGGUAUUAUAGAUCACCAGAGUCUCCAACACUUGUUCAAACAAAAGGAUCUAAAAUUGAGGCAGUGGAGAUGGUUGGAGCCGUUGAAGGAUUUUUGAUAUCACCAAUCUGAAUUAUGCUAGAAAGGCCAAUGUGGUGGCAGAUGCCCUGGGUAGAAAGGUGGUGAAUAUGAGUAGCCUUGCAUUCAUUCCUGUUGGUGAGAUACCUCUUGUAGUUGAUAUUUAGUCAUUGGCUAACCAGUUUGUGAGAUUAGAAGUUCUGGAGCCUAGUCAAGUUCUGGCUUGUGUGGUUUCUCGGUUUUCCUCAUGUGAUUACAUCAGAGAGUGCUAAUAUAAUGACCCGCAUUUGCUUGUUCUUAAGGACAUGGUUUAGCACGGUCAUCCCAAAGAUAUUACUAUUGGGGAUGAUAGGGUGUUAAGGAUGCAUGGUUGGAUUUGUGUGCCUAGUGUAGAUAGGCUACGUGAGUUGAUUCUUGAGGAGGCCCAUAGUUCUCAGUAUUCCAUCCAUCCCGGUGUUGCAAAGAUGUACUAGGACCUGAGGCAACAUUAUUGGUGCUGGAGAAUGAAGAAGGAAAUAGUAGGGUUUGUAGCUCGGUGCCUUAACUGUCAGCAGGUGAAGUAUGAGCAUAAGAGACCGAGUGGAUUUCUUCACAAGCUAGAUAUUCACCAGUGGAAAUAGGAGCGGAUCACCAUGGAUUUUAUAGUUGUGCUCCCACAGACUUUGAAUAAGUUCGAUGCUAUUUGGGUGAUUGUGGAUUAGCUAACCAAGUCCGCGCACUUCAUUCUAGUUGGGACUACUUAUUCUUCGGAGCGGUUGGCUGAGAUUUACAUCCGCAAGAUCGUUCGCCUUCACGGUGUGCCAGUGUCCAUCAUUUCAAAUUGGGAAACGCAAUUUACCUCAUAGUUUUGGACAGUCGUACAACAAAAGUUGGUUACCCAAGUUGAGUUGAGUACACCAUUUCACCCUCAUAUGGACGGACAGUAUGAGCAUACUAUUUAGAUAUUGGAGGACAAGCUACGCGCUUGUGUCAUUAAUUUCGGGGGUUCAUCGGACCAGUUUCUGCCACUCGCGGAGUUUGCCUACAAUAACAACUACCAGACAAGCAUUCAGAUAGAUCCAUAUGAGGUUUUGUAUGAGAGACAGUGUCGAUCUCCGGUGGGUUUGUUUGAGCCCGGUAAGGCCAGGCUGUUGGGUACUGAUUUGGUUCAGGAUACUUUGGACAAGGUUAAAUUGAUUCAGGAUUGGCAUUGGGCGCAAUGUAGACAGAAGAGUUACGCUAAUAGAAAUGUUCAUGAUGUUGCUUACAUUGUUGGGGAGAAGGUACUGCUCAAGGUUUCACCCAUGAAGGGUAUUAUGAGAUUCGGGAAGAAGGGCAAGUGUAGCCCUCGGUAUAUUGGGUGUUUUGAGGUGCUUCAGAGUAUUGGAGAGGUGGCUUACAAUCUUUUCUUGUCACCUAGUUUGUCGAGUGUGCAUCCAGUAUUUCAAGUAUCUAUGCUUCAGAAGUAUGUCAAUGAUCCGUCUCAUGUUUUGGAUUUUAGCAUGGUUCAGUUAGAUGGUGAUUUGACUUAUGAUGUGGAGCCGGUAGACAUUUUGGGUCAGCAGGUUAGAAAGUUGAGGUAAAAAUACAUAGCUUCAGUGAAGGUGCAGUGGAGAGGUCAUCUAAUGAGGAGGCUACUUGGGAGACUAAGGGGGAGAUGCGGAGAAGAUAUCCACACCAAUUUGAGACCCCAGGUACAUUUCUAUACCCGUUUGAGGAUGAACAUUUGUUUAAGAUAAGGAGCAUGUAAUGACCCAGCCGGUUGUUUUGAGAGUUGUAGCCUUGUUCCCCUAUUUAGUGAUCAUUUUGUGCUUUAUAGUUGUUAUGCGACUUGUCGGGGUAAUUAGUUCGGGUUCGGAGUGAUUUUGGAAUGAAACGAGACACUUAGUCUCAAGGUUAGAAGCUUAAAUUAAAAAGAUUGACCGGAUGUUGACUUUUGUGUAAAUGACAUCGGAUUGCAGUGUUGAUGGUCCCGUUAGCUCCGUGGGUGAUUCUAGACUUAAGAGCAUGUCCGUAGUGAUUUGGAGGUCUGUAGUUGAACUAGGCUUGAAUUGGCGAAAGUUGAAAAUUUGGAUGUUUGACCGAGAGUGGACUUUGUGGUUACCAGACUCACAUUGGGGUUCAGGGAAGUGGAGUAGGACCGUGGUGUCAUUUGUGACUUGUAUGCAAAAUUUGAGGUCAAUCGGACGUGAUUUGAUAGAUUUCGACAUUGUUUGUAGAAGUUGGAUUUCUUUAGUUUCAUUAGGCUUGAACUGGGGUGCGAUUCAUGUUUUUGAUAUUGUUUGAUGUGAUUUGAAGGAUCGAAUAAGUCUGUACCGUGUUUUAGGACUUGUUGGUAUGUUUGGUUGAGGUCCCGCGGGUCUCGGGUUAAUUUUGGAUGGUUAACAGCUCGAAUUUGGAGUUUGAAAGAUUGCUGAAGCUGGGAGUCUUUUGGUGCAAUCGCACAUGUAGAGCUUUCGUCGCAGGUGCGAGAUGGGGAGUUCAAAUUCUGCCAGGAGUGGGGGAAGACUAUGCUCGCAGGUGCAAAGGAUUUUCCACACCUGCAUGGUCGUAGAUGUAGCCUAAUGGGUGUGGAAGCGGAGUUUGGCCAGUGGGUAGUUCGUGCAGGUGCGAUGGGAAUUCUGCACCUGCGACUGCGCAGAUGCGAGGGCAGGAUCGCAGAAGUGGAGGUCCAGUUCCAAUGGUUCAUAGCAAAAGUGAGAGGAUUGUCGCUUCUAUGAUAUUGCAGAUGUGGUUAUGUUUCCGCAGAAACAAAAAGGAGGGACAGAACCUUAAAUUCACGGGUUCGCGAUUUUUCUUAAUUUUAAACAUUUUAACCUUUGGAUUGGGCGAUUUUUGAGAGGGAUUUAAAAUGAAUUCUUGAGUUAAGUCACUUGUGCUCAUUUUUAGUCAACAAUCUUAUUUCCCCGUUGAAUUCCCCACCUAGCUUAUGUGCAUUUAAUGUGGAAUUGGGAGUUUGAGGCAAGGGGUUUGGAGGGUUAAUUGGGGAUCUGGGUGACGAUUUGGAGUCGGAUUUUGGUAAAUUUGGUAUGGUUGGACUCGUGGUUGAUUGGGCUUUCGGAUUUUGUGACUUUUAUCGGAUUUCGACACCUAGGCCCGAGGGCCAGCUUUUGAAUCGUCUUUUUGACUUUUGAUUUAGAGCCUAGUAUUUUCUUAUGGAAUUGAUUCCUUUAGCUCGUGUUGAUUGUAUCGAAUUUUUUGUGGCUAGAUUUGGGACAUUCGGAGGCCAUUUCAUGAGGAAAGGGCGUGUUGGGGUAGGGAUUGCAGGGGUUGAGGUAAGUAACAGUUCUAAAUUUGGUUCUGAGGGUAUGAAACCCCAUAUUAUGUGUCAUGUGAUUUGUUUUGAGGUGAUUCACAUGCUAGGUGGCGAGCGUGUGGACGUGCACCGUAGGAAUUGUGACUUGGUCGAUUCCAUGGAACUGUAUAGUUGAAAAAACUGUUGUUAUCUGUAUAUUCCCCAUGUGUUAUAGAAUUUGAACUGCAACUCAUGUUAGAAAUCAUGCUUAGACUAUGUGUUGGCACUAUAGGGACCCACAUAGGUCGUGUACAUGUUGAAUUAUAUGCUAAAUUGUUGUUUUGUAAGCCACAUUUUUACUUGCAUAUUAUAUCUCAGUCUAUAUUGUUCUUUAUUGAUACAUUAUAUCAGUGAUAUUUGGGCUAAAUAUCAUGAUUACUGAGAGCCCGAGCGACUAUAGAGCUUGAUGACUGAGUGAGGCCGAGGGACUGAUAGUGAGGAUAUUUAUUGGAUCGGGCUGCAUGUAGCAUCAUGUUUUGUUGAUUAAUGCCAUGAUUAGCUCGUUAUAGUGCUUGGGUUGAAGGAGCCCCUCCUGAGUCUGUACACACCCCAAGGGAGCGUAGGUACCUACUGAGUGCGAGUGCCGAGUGUGAGUAUUGAGUGCGAGUGCCGAGUGCGAGUAUUGAGUGCGAGUGCCGAGUGCGAGUAUUGAGUGCGAGUACUGAGUGCGAGUGUCGAGCAACUGGGAGAAAUGAGUGACUGUGAGGAUGAGUGACUGUAAGGCUGGAGUGAAUGGGAGGACUGAGUGACUGUUGCGCAGAGAUAAUGCAUUUGAUUUCAUUACUGUUGCACUUUAGCUACCAUAUAUCAUUGUCAUAUGAUUUCAGAGAGAUAUUAUUGUCACACCUCCUUUUUCUUACACCCCCGGAAGGGUAUAUAAGAGAGUUUUUUCCAACUUAAAGUGACAACCGAAACAAGAUCAUUUUAUUAAAAAUUCAUAGCCGCCACUUGGGAUAAUUUACGGUGUCCCAAGUCACCGGUUCAAAUCACGAAUCGAGGAAAGAUUGACUCCGUUUUACAGUUUGCGAACACAGAAAUCCGGGUAAGGAAUUCUGUAAACCUGGGAGAAAGUGUUAGAUAUUUCCGGAUUCCGUAGUUUUAGCACGGUCGCUCAACUGUUAUAAUUGGCCUAUUAUCUGAUUUUAAAAUACUUUUAAACCUAUGUGCAUUUUAACUUUAAACUGCCUUUAAUUAUUUUUAGGGAAGAUUCAACGUUACUUAAAACAUGCCUUGAACCACGUCACAUGAAAUGCACCCGCGGUCCCCGACACAUUUUAUUUAAAAUUGUUGAGAUUUGGAUUUGGGUCACAUAAAAUGCACACCCGAGUUUAAGGAAAUUAAUUUAAAUUAUGCUCCUAAAGCAACUACGCAUUUUCAAUUUGCGAGGGCCAUGGAAAAUUCAACUAAAUGGCGUACCUCGAUUUCUAAAGGAUUAAAAUUAGUUAAGUGAGGGCCAUGCGUUUGAGAUUUUAUUUGGCACGACACACCUCGAUUCCAAUUUUAAAAGGAAACUCAAACUAAGCUUUUGAGGGCCAUAAACUAUAUUUUACUUAAUAUGGCACACCUCCAAUCUAAUUGUCUAAAAAUUCCUUAUUUUAAAAUUAUGAGGGCCAUAGACUAUUUGUGUUUUCUAAUAUGGCACGCCCCAUCUAAAUAAAUAAAUUAUUAUUUUUCUAAAUCGUAGCUAAAAGCCCUUGAUUGCUCAAUUUACCCAAAAACUAACGAAGGCUUCAUAUUUUCGUAGCCAGAUUGCCCACGGCCCACUUCAAUGCCUUUGAGAUGGAUUGAUUUACAAAUACCAAUUUAAGAUUAAAUAAUCAAAUCCCAAAACAACAACUAUAGAGCAACAUGCGUUCUUCCUCUACUUAAACAUGAUUAAAUAUUUUGAUAAACUAAUAACAUUCAUUGUAUAAAUAUAUAUGAGGCAGAGUAAUACACAAAAAUAUAUGUAUAAUGAUAAAAAUGGAAUAGAAAAGUAAAGAAUUAACCUCAGCUGCUUUCCUUUUUAAAUAGCAAAAUUCAAUUACUGCAAACUUUGGUGAGCUAGAUGCUACUGGGAAAUGAAAACAGGAACUAGCUUGAACCGUGAACUCGUCGGCAACCUCGACUCAAUAGGAAACGGAGUUUUCGAGAGAAUGAAAUCGAUUAGAGCUCAGCAUCUAUGGAGUUCAGUGGUGUUGGAGUUUGGAGGACGGUCAAGUUCAAUUGGUUUUGCGCUUGGUAUUGUAUCAGUGGUGUUUUUGGUGGAAAUCGGUGAAGAGGCGACGCUAGGGGUUUUGUAACUCUGAUUUUGGACCCGUUUUUUGACUGAAAAUCAUCGCCUCCCCCUAUCGCUCUGUUGUUCUGUCCUCCAAAUUCUCUAUGUCCGUUCUUUGCUCUUAGCUCCCUCUAUUCAUUUAAACUCCAUUGUUUUGAGACCCAAUUUGAAAUCAAAAGGAAGAAACAGUAAUAUAUUUCUUGUAUUUUUCUUUCUAAAUCUCAAGCAUAAGGCUAAUUCAUAAAAAAACAAAAACUUCGCUUCCUUUAAUUUGUAUUUGGUCUUAAGGUGUGUUAUAGGUUGUGAAAAAAUGAAGAAGAACGGAUGGUUCCUCAAACGGCGGAUCUGAAGGUUUUUAGGUGUAUUUGUUAG
Molecule: long non-coding RNA, 22139 nt
Filed under: Nicotiana tabacum (common tobacco)
Lineage: Eukaryota; Viridiplantae; Streptophyta; Magnoliopsida; Solanales; Solanaceae
Description: long non-coding RNA (NTAB_LNC008522)
Source: RNAcentral